This 323-nucleotide unclassified non-coding RNA is filed under the name uncultured Mucor. Its description in RNAcentral is "partial contains 5.8S ribosomal RNA, internal transcribed spacer 2, and large subunit ribosomal RNA". The stretch from base 1 to 101 matches the Rfam family "5.8S ribosomal RNA", at positions 53 to 154 of the family's 154-position model. The record is from RNAcentral. Lineage: Eukaryota; Fungi; Mucoromycota; Mucoromycetes; Mucorales; Mucoraceae.
GUGCGAUAACUAGUGUGAAUUGCAUAUUCAGUGAAUCAUCGAGUCUUUGAACGCAACUUGCGCUCAAUGGUAUUCCAUUGAGCACGCCUGUUUCAGUAUCAAAAACACCCCACAUUCACAAUUUUAUUGUUGAAUGGAAUUGAGAAUUUCGGCCUUUUGGCUGAAUUCUUUAAAAUUAUUAGGCCUGAACUAUUGUUCUUUCUGCCUGAACAUUUUUUUAAUAUAAAGGAAUGCUCUAGCAAAAAAGACUGUCUCUGGGGCCUCCCAAAUAAAUCAUUCUUAAAUUUGAUCUGAAAUCAGGCGGGAUUACCCGCUGAACUUAA